CCUACGGGGGGCAGCAGUGGGGGAUAUUGCACAAUGGGGGAAACCCUGAUGCAGCGACGCCGCGUGGGUGAAGAAGCGCCUCGGCGCGUAAAGCCCUGUCAGCAGGGAAGAAAAUGACGGUACCUGAAGAAGAAGCCCCGGCUAACUACGUGCCAGCAGCCGCGGUAAUACGUAGGGGGCAAGCGUUAUCCGGAUUUACUGGGUGUAAAGGGGGCGCAGACGGCGAUGCAAGCCAGGAGUGAAAGCCCGGGGCCCAACCCCGGGACUGCUCUUGGAACUGCGUGGCUAGAGUGCAGGAGGGGCAAGCGGAAUUCCUGGUGUAGGGGUGAAAUGCGUAGAUAUCAGGAGGAAAACCGGUGGCGGAGGCGGCCUGCUGGACUGCAACUGACGUUGAGGCCCGAAAGCGUGGGGAGCAAACAGGAUUAGAUACCCCUGUAGUC
Molecule: ribosomal RNA, 440 nt
Filed under: uncultured bacterium
Lineage: Bacteria
Description: partial 16S ribosomal RNA
Rfam family: Bacterial small subunit ribosomal RNA
Source: RNAcentral